RNAcentral lists this ribosomal RNA (387 nucleotides) under uncultured bacterium. Its description in RNAcentral is "bacterial SSU rRNA". It matches the Rfam family "Bacterial small subunit ribosomal RNA", at positions 29 to 416 of the family's 1533-position model. The record is from RNAcentral.
AUUGAACGCUGGCGGCAUGCCUUACACAUGCAAGUCGAACGGCAGCACGGGAGCAAUCCUGGUGGCGAGUGGCGAACGGGUGAGUAAUAUAUCGGAACGUGCCCAGUCGUGGGGGAUAACGUAGCGAAAGUUACGCUAAUACCGCAUACGAUCUAUGGAUGAAAGCGGGGGAUCGCAAGACCUCGCGCGAUUGGAGCGGCCGAUAUCAGAUUAGGUAGUUGGUGGGGUAAAGGCGUCACCAAGCCGACGAUCUGUAGCUGGUCUGAGAGGACGACCAGCCACACUGGGACUGAGACACGGCCCAGACUCCUACGGGAGGCAGCAGUGGGGAAUUUUGGACAAUGGGCGCAAGCCUGAUCCAGCAAUGCCGCGUGCAGGAAGAAGGCC